CGAACGCUGGCGGCGUGCUUAACACAUGCAAGUCGAACGCGAAAGGGACUUGGUCCUGAGUAAAGUGGCGCACGGGUGAGUAACGCGUAGAUAACCUGUCUUCAUGUCUGGAAUAAUACGCCGAAAGGGGUACUAAUACCGGAUAUUCUUGCUUUUCAUAAGUUAUGCAAGCAAAGGUGGCCUCUGCAUAUGCUACUGCAUGAAGAGGGGUCUGCGUACCAUUAGCUAGUAGGUGGGGUAAUGGCCUACCUAGGCGACGAUGGUUAGCGGGUCUGAGAGGAUGAUCCGCCACACUGGCACUGGAACACGGGCCAGACUCCUACGGGAGGCAGCAGUGAGGAAUAUUGCGCAAUGGGGGAAACCCUGACGCAGCGACGCCGCGUGAGUGAGGAAGGCCUUCGGGUCGUAAAGCUCUGUCAAGAGGAAAGAAGUGUACAAUGGCUAAUACCUGUUGUAUUUGACGGUACCUCUAAAGGAAGCACCGGCUAACUCCGUGCCAGCCGCCGC
Molecule: ribosomal RNA, 507 nt
Filed under: uncultured bacterium
Lineage: Bacteria
Description: bacterial SSU rRNA
Rfam family: Bacterial small subunit ribosomal RNA
Source: RNAcentral